This 2758-nucleotide ribosomal RNA is filed under the name Klebsiella pneumoniae. RNAcentral's name for it is "bacterial LSU rRNA". It matches the Rfam family "Bacterial large subunit ribosomal RNA". The record is from RNAcentral. Lineage: Bacteria; Pseudomonadati; Pseudomonadota; Gammaproteobacteria; Enterobacterales; Enterobacteriaceae.
CACUAUCGUUAACUGAAUACAUAGGUUAACGAGGCGAACCGGGGGAACUGAAACAUCUAAGUACCCCGAGGAAAAGAAAUCAACCGAGAUUCCCCCAGUAGCGGCGAGCGAACGGGGAGCAGCCCAGAGUCUGAAUCAGCUUGUGUGUUAGUGGAACGGUCUGGAAAGUCCGACGGUACAGGGUGAUAGUCCCGUACACCAAAAUGCACAGGUUGUGAACUCGAAGAGUAGGGCGGGACACGUGGUAUCCUGUCUGAAUAUGGGGGGACCAUCCUCCAAGGCUAAAUACUCCUGACUGACCGAUAGUGAACCAGUACCGUGAGGGAAAGGCGAAAAGAACCCCGGCGAGGGGAGUGAAAAAGAACCUGAAACCGUGUACGUACAAGCAGUGGGAGCACCUUCGGGUGUGACUGCGUACCUUUUGUAUAAUGGGUCAGCGACUUAUAUUCUGUAGCAAGGUUAACCGUAUAGGGGAGCCGCAGGGAAACCGAGUCUUAACUGGGCGUUAAGUUGCAGGGUAUAGACCCGAAACCCGGUGAUCUAGCCAUGGGCAGGUUGAAGGUUGGGUAACACUAACUGGAGGACCGAACCGACUAAUGUUGAAAAAUUAGCGGAUGACUUGUGGCUGGGGGUGAAAGGCCAAUCAAACCGGGAGAUAGCUGGUUCUCCCCGAAAGCUAUUUAGGUAGCGCCUCGUGAAUUCAUCUUCGGGGGUAGAGCACUGUUUCGGCUAGGGGGUCAUCCCGACUUACCAACCCGAUGCAAACUACGAAUACCGAAGAAUGUUAUCACGGGAGACACACGGCGGGUGCUAACGUCCGUCGUGAAGAGGGAAACAACCCAGACCGCCAGCUAAGGUCCCAAAGUCAUGGUUAAGUGGGAAACGAUGUGGGAAGGCACAGACAGCCAGGAUGUUGGCUUAGAAGCAGCCAUCAUUUAAAGAAAGCGUAAUAGCUCACUGGUCGAGUCGGCCUGCGCGGAAGAUGUAACGGGGCUAAACCAUGCACCGAAGCUGCGGCAGCGACACUAUGUGUUGUUGGGUAGGGGAGCGUUCUGUAAGCCUGCGAAGGUGUGCUGUGAGGCAUGCUGGAGGUAUCAGAAGUGCGAAUGCUGACAUAAGUAACGAUAAAGCGGGUGAAAAGCCCGCUCGCCGGAAGACCAAGGGUUCCUGUCCAACGUUAAUCGGGGCAGGGUGAGUCGACCCCUAAGGCGAGGCCGAAAGGCGUAGUCGAUGGGAAACAGGUUAAUAUUCCUGUACUUGGUGUUACUGCGAAGGGGGGACGGAGAAGGCUAUGUUAGCCGGGCGACGGUUGUCCCGGUUUAAGCAUGUAGGCUGAUUGUCCAGGCAAAUCCGGAUAAUCAAGGCUGAGGUGUGAUGACGAGGUACUACGGUGCUGAAGUAACAAAUGCCCUGCUUCCAGGAAAAGCCUCUAAGCAUCAGGUAACAUCAAAUCGUACCCCAAACCGACACAGGUGGUCAGGUAGAGAAUACCAAGGCGCUUGAGAGAACUCGGGUGAAGGAACUAGGCAAAAUGGUGCCGUAACUUCGGGAGAAGGCACGCUGGUGUGUAGGUGAAGUCCCUGCGGAUGGAGCUGAGACCAGUCGAAGAUACCAGCUGGCUGCAACUGUUUAUUAAAAACACAGCACUGUGCAAACACGAAAGUGGACGUAUACGGUGUGACGCCUGCCCGGUGCCGGAAGGUUAAUUGAUGGGGUUAUCCGUAAGGAGAAGCUCUUGAUCGAAGCCCCGGUAAACGGCGGCCGUAACUAUAACGGUCCUAAGGUAGCGAAAUUCCUUGUCGGGUAAGUUCCGACCUGCACGAAUGGCGUAAUGAUGGCCAGGCUGUCUCCACCCGAGACUCAGUGAAAUUGAACUCGCUGUGAAGAUGCAGUGUACCCGCGGCAAGACGGAAAGACCCCGUGAACCUUUACUAUAGCUUGACACUGAACAUUGAGCCUUGAUGUGUAGGAUAGGUGGGAGGCUUUGAAGCGUGGACGCCAGUCUGCGUGGAGCCAACCUUGAAAUACCACCCUUUAAUGUUUGAUGUUCUAACGUUGGCCCCUGACCGGGGUUGCGGACAGUGUCUGGUGGGUAGUUUGACUGGGGCGGUCUCCUCCCAAAGCGUAACGGAGGAGCACGAAGGUUAGCUAAUCCUGGUCGGACAUCAGGAGGUUAGUGCAAUGGCAUAAGCUAGCUUGACUGCGAGCGUGACGGCGCGAGCAGGUGCGAAAGCAGGUCAUAGUGAUCCGGUGGUUCUGAAUGGAAGGGCCAUCGCUCAACGGAUAAAAGGUACUCCGGGGAUAACAGGCUGAUACCGCCCAAGAGUUCAUAUCGACGGCGGUGUUUGGCACCUCGAUGUCGGCUCAUCACAUCCUGGGGCUGAAGUAGGUCCCAAGGGUAUGGCUGUUCGCCAUUUAAAGUGGUACGCGAGCUGGGUUUAGAACGUCGUGAGACAGUUCGGUCCCUAUCUGCCGUGGGCGCUGGAGAAUUGAGGGGGGCUGCUCCUAGUACGAGAGGACCGGAGUGGACGCAUCACUGGUGUUCGGGUUGUCAUGCCAAUGGCACUGCCCGGUAGCUAAAUGCGGAAGAGAUAAGUGCUGAAAGCAUCUAAGCACGAAACUUGCCCCGAGAUGAGUUCUCCCUGAGACUUUAAGUCUCCUGAAGGAACGUUGAAGACGACGACGUUGAUAGGCCGGGUGUGUAAGCGCAGCGAUGCGUUGAGCUAACCGGUACUAAUGAACCGUGAGGCUUAACCUU